Molecule: ribosomal RNA, 557 nt
Filed under: Escherichia coli
Lineage: Bacteria; Pseudomonadati; Pseudomonadota; Gammaproteobacteria; Enterobacterales; Enterobacteriaceae
Description: partial 23S ribosomal RNA
Rfam family: Bacterial large subunit ribosomal RNA
Source: RNAcentral
AAAGACCCCGUGAACCUUUACUAUAGCUUGACACUGAACAUUGAGCCUUGAUGUGUAGGAUAGGUGGGAGGCUUAGAAGUGUGGACGCCAGUCUGCAUGGAGCCGAACUUGAAAUACCACCCUUUAAUGUUUGAUGUUCUAACGUUGACCCGUGAUCCGGGUUGCGGACAGUGUCUGGUGGGUAGUUUGACUGGGGCGGUCUCCUCCUAAAGAGUAACGGAGGAGCACGAAGGUUGGCUAAUCCUGGUCGGACAUCAGGAGGUUAGUGCAAUGGCAUAAGCCAGCUUGACUGCGAGCGUGACGGCGCGAGCAGGUGCGAAAGCAGGUCAUAGUGAUCCGGUGGUUCUGAAUGGAAGGGCCAUCGCUCAACGGAUAAAAGGUACUCCGGGGAUAACAGGCUGAUACCGCCCAAGAGUUCAUAUCGACGGCGGUGUUUGGCACCUCGAUGUCGGCUCAUCACAUCCUGGGGCUGAAGUAGGUCCCAAGGGUAUGGCUGUUCGCCAUUUAAAGUGGUACGCGAGCUGGGUUUAGAACGUCGUGAGACAGUUCGGUCCCUA